RNAcentral lists this ribosomal RNA (112 nucleotides) under Crocodylus porosus (Australian saltwater crocodile). The record is from RNAcentral. Lineage: Eukaryota; Metazoa; Chordata; Crocodylia; Crocodylidae.
UUAAAGUGCCAAAUGGGACUGAAUGUACCCGAUCCCUUCUGAUCUCAGAAGCUUAAGUCCUGGCCUGGCUAGUUCUUGAACAGGAGACCACCUGGGAAUUGUGGGUUCCAGG